Molecule: small RNA, 3015 nt
Filed under: Histoplasma capsulatum
Lineage: Eukaryota; Fungi; Ascomycota; Eurotiomycetes; Onygenales; Ajellomycetaceae
Description: hypothetical RNA
Source: RNAcentral
UGCCCAAGAGCUCGUUAGGUUAACCACUAAAAUGCCCUCGUUAUCGUUGCUCACUAAACCCGGUGCUAUCCUCUUCUCAGCCACACACACACUGAAUAAACACCUCCAUCAUCUUCAGGUCCCGUUCUUUUCUGCGGUGUGUCUCUUCUGCGGCUUCUUCUGCUGCUUCUGCUGCUUCUCGUCUUCUCUUGAUUCCCUUCACGGGGGUUUCCUCUCGUCUUUGUAGCUGCAUCCUUCGUCUCAGCAUCCUUGCUCUCUCCGUCCCACCGCUGCUUUGGCCCCCAAUUGCUCUCUGUCCCACCGCUUCGGCCCCCAAUUGCUCCAAUUGCUCCAAUUGCACCUGGCAGUGGCCUUCUCCGCGUACCCAUAUCCCAUGUCCUGAUUCAGAUUUGUAUAUCUUUUAGAGUUCCCGUCAUUCUAUCCCUUCCUACACACCGCAAACAACCCCUCUUCCCCCCCAAAUGCAUCCGUCGACACUACCCAAAAAUUCACACUCUGCUUAUUCUCCGUCCUCAGCUUCAUCUUGCUUUCCAAGGCUGCUCACACACAUUGCCUGCCGCUGUCACCAAUAGCAAAGCUCAACUUCUCCCUAUCCACCACCGCGCUCCACUUCUCGACCGGCCCUCACCCCACCCGCCCUAGGUUUGGGCUCCAAUCCUUGUCCCUCUGCAGUUUUGAAAGCAACGUGAUCGAGGCCUCCUGUGUCCUGUCCCACUCCGCCGAUCGAGAUCUUUGAAUCGCUGCCCACCAACCCUAGCCGCCUAUUUCCCGCCGUAUAUGUGCUAUCUUCCGUGGACGGCAGCAUCCAACUGUACUGCCGAAAGAAACGGAUAAAUACCUACACGCUUUGCCUAGUUGCCUAGGUUUUCAAGUUUUCCUUGGAUCUCACGAAAACUGCUCUGGAAAAGGUGCUUUCCCCUUUUGACCCUGGGUUGAUCUCCCCUGGUCUAUCGUCUUGUUAUUUGGGAGAGCUCUAUCGGUCGAAAUCAGCGCGAAGAAUACUUUCCCUUCUUCUUCUUCUUUUUUUUUUUGCUUCUUGCCUUAACUGCGCAAGCGCCUGCUCUAAGGCGGGACAAGGGUUCAGUUAUAGGACUGCCAAUAAGCGGGCACAUUUGGCCGGGUUGACUCGGGCAUAGAUUUUUCGCGGUGGUCAAUCGAUAUUACCUCCUGUCCCAAAAGAAACCGCAUCGUUAUAAGGUCGAAGACCCGGACAGAUCCCCCGGCUCACCUGCCCCAUCCCCUACCGAGCGCCAAGUACACGCCUCCAACUGUUCCAGCUUGUAUUUCUGCUGGCCCUGGCCGUCACGAACUGGGUCUUGCAAUUUUUUCCCCCCAUUCUUCUUGAUCGUUAACCCUUCCCGCAACGGCUAUUAGCAAUAAAAUUGUCCGAUCGACCACUAUGAGCUCAAAUCUGAGAUUACAGCCUCGAAGAGAGUAUCACAUCGUGGUUCUUGGAGCUGGUGGAGUUGGAAAGAGUUGCUUAACUGCCCAAUUCGUCCAAAAUGUCUGGAUUGAAAGUUACGACCCGACUAUUGAAGACUCGUAUCGCAAGCUGAUUGAAGUGGAUGGGCGACAAUGUAUUCUGGAGAUAUUAGAUACUGCCGGGACUGAACAAUUCACUGCUAUGAGGGAACUCUACAUGAAGCAAGGCCAAGGCUUCCUCCUCGUCUUCUCAAUAACAUCCGCGUCUUCCCUCUCCGAACUAGCAGAACUCCGCGAACAAAUCAUCCGGAUAAAAGACGACGACAACGUCCCCAUUGUCAUCGUCGGUAACAAGUCAGAUCUCGAAGAAGACCGUGCCGUCUCGCGAUCGCGCGCCUUCGCCCUCUCCCAACAAUGGGGAAACUCUCCUUACUACGAAACCUCCGCCCGCCGCCGCGCAAACGUCAACGAAGUCUUUAUUGACCUGUGCAGACAGAUUAUCCGGAAAGACAUACAGGCAAGCCAGCAGCGGAGCAUGGAGCUGGCGAUGAAUGGGAGGGUUGGUGGUGGUGGGGUCGGUGUCGGGGGUGGCGGCAUUGGUGGUAGUUCUGCUGGGGGUGGUGGUACUGGGCGUGGGGCGGAAGGGCACAGUCGACAGAGCGGAGUCCGCUUACGGAAUCGGAGGAGAGCAAAAGUGAAAGGGGAUUGUGUGAUCUUGUGAAUUCUUUCUUUCCUUCUGCCCUACGGUUCGGCUUUUCCUCCCCCACCUUCUUCUGUGUUUAUUUGGUUUUCUCUUUCUUUUUUAUAUACAUGAUAUAUGGCCUUUCUAUUCUAUACUUCCUCCUUUUUCCCGGGGCUUUUUUGUUCUUGUUUUUAUCUAUUUCUGAUGUUUCUUCUACCCUUUGCCUUUAUUCUCUGUUUAGUCGUCCCACUCCGACAUAUUUUCGCACAGAGAUUUUUGCUCCCACUAUUCUCCUCAUCUUUAUCCGUUUUUCAUGAUUUCAUUUCAUUUCAUUUCACUUCAUUAUAAGAAUCUUUUUCUAUUUCUAUUCAUGGUUUAUUUUCACUAUCCGUUUUAGAAUAACUCUUACCUGUAUAUUGCUUGAUACUUAGAGUUGCCCAUUCCGAGAUUUAUCCUAUUGUCGUCCAUUUUUUCCCUUUUUCUUUUCUUUUCUUUUCUUUUUUUUUUUUCGUUUCGUGUCUAACCCUUGCUUCUUUUGCCUUAACUUUCCCCUUUUCUCAUUUAACGCUGUCAACAUACCAUCCGAAAAUUCAUCCAAGAAAUUAACCCCCUUGUUUAUUUUAGAAAUCAAUUGCAUUCUUCCAUUCUUCCCAAACCUUUUAACCUUUUAUCUAGUUCUUCCUUUUUAUUUUUCCCCCUUUCUUUUUUCACGCUUCUGAGAGCAAGCCCACUAGGAGGGAGGAAUAUGCAUUAACGAAGUGGAAAUUGAUGGGGGGGAUGGAUACAUCCAAUCCAUGUGGUACCUGCCAUAGAUGCUACAACGCAAAAGACAUUAUUAACGUGGUGCCCCUAACUUUCAAUUAAUUAAGUCUAACUAUGGGAAACAGUUGCCCGCUAUCAAUAACUAAAAG